RNAcentral lists this long non-coding RNA (2886 nucleotides) under Homo sapiens (human). RNAcentral's name for it is "HSALNT0000826". The record is from RNAcentral. Lineage: Eukaryota; Metazoa; Chordata; Mammalia; Primates; Hominidae.
GCAGGCCAUGUGAAUCGCACCCCUGGAACUGUGCAGGGCCCACCUGUGUGGCCACACGCAGUGACCCUGAGCAAAGGAGUGACCACAGAAGUGCAUGGCAAAGCAGAAAGGUGUGACGUCUUGGAGGACGCGGGAGGAAAGCACGCCCAGCGGACAGGAGCCAUCACGCGGCUGCGGGCUGCUGCUGAGAACCUGGCGUGGGCCACCGUCGUCAGCAGCGUGGAGGACACUUGUUAUUGCAGUCAGAGUCCAUCUGGAUAAUCCUGGAUAAAUCUCAUCUGGAGAUCCUUCACCAGAUCACAUCGGCAAUGACCUGUUCCCCAAAUAAGGCCCUGUGCACAGGUUCUGGGGCGGCUGGAUGGCAGAGGUGAUAAAGCUGGGAAGAGAGGCAUCCUGGAAGGGCCCGUGUUAUGAAAACCCAGAGUUUCACUCAGAUCGACAGCUGCGUGGGGGCCGGCGCUCCCGGCAGUGAUUGAGUUACCCUCAGCAGCGGGGUCCCGAGGUCGCAAUCCCUGCUGGGGGAGUGAUUGAUGCCGGACUCCAGGGCCCACCUUGGGUGACCCUGGGAUGUCAAUGAGUGACCGCUGAUUCUGGGCCACUUGGUUCUGGGCCACCCGCAUGUCCAGAGACCUCAAGGUGGGCCGACGUCCAACCAGCGAAGCAGAGCAAUCCUUUUGGAAGCUUCUCUCCACGGGGGGCUGGCUGCUCCUUCAUCACUCCCAUCUGAGGGCUUCUGCUUGCAGCCGUCUGUCACGCUGAGCAGCUCUGUGGUGGAUUCUGUGCUGCUUGCUCUGUGUCUAUUUUGUCAAGAUCGCCAGUCUCUCUGGAUUCUCUCCUCUGGGUUGGCCCACGCUCACUCAUCCGGCUUUGGAAGGACAUUUAUCCUCUAGCUUCCUCCAGGAGGGGGAUUUGUCUUAGAGAGUGGCACUUUCUCUUCCCUCCCCAGCCCCUCGUGCACCUUCUGCAGGGAGGGGAGUCCCCUGGUGCUGAGAGGAGAGGUAGGAGAGCCAGGUAGGGCCUGUGGGAGCCCAGCAGAGGUGCCCUGGCCACCUUGAGUGUCUGAGACUCACGGUCUAUUAAAAAUGGAAAAACAAACUGGGCACCGUGGCUCCUACCUGUAAUUCCAGCACUUUGGGAGGCUGAGGCGGGUGGAUCACUUGAGGUCAGGAGUUCAAGACCAGCCUGACCAAUGUGGUGAAACCUUGUCUCUACUAAAAAUACAAAAGUUAGCUGGGUUUGGUGGUACACACCUGUAAUCCCAGCUACUUGGGAGGCAGAGGCAGGAGAAUCGCUUGGACCUGGAAGGUGGAAGUUGCAGUGAGCAGAGAUUGUGCCACUGCACUCCAGCCUGGGUGACAGAGUGAGACUCUUGUCUCAAAAAAAAAAAACAAACAGAAAAAGAAAAAAGAAAAAAAGGAAAAACAACAAAGUUAGCGCUGAGCAGGGUUUCAGGAUUCUAGACCUGGUUUAAAAUGCAUUGCAUGGAAUAACCUGUUUAAUCUGCAAGUUAACUCUCUGAUACAGCGAGUGGUAUUAUCACAAUUUUGACAAGAUAAAGGCACAAAACAAGAUUUAAGAUUUUUUUUUUAAAAAAGGACAGACACCCAUUAAUUCUAAAUAAUUAAAGAUCAAUUCAUUAUGUACACAUACCGUUGACCCCUGAACAGCGUGGGUUUGUACUGGCUGGGUCCGUUUAUAUGUGGAUUUUCCUCUGCCUCUGCCACCCCUGAGACAGCAAGACCAACCCCUCCUCUUCCUUUUCCUCCUCCUCAGGUUCCUCAAUGUGAAGACGACAACGAUGAAGAUCUUUAUGGCUGGGUUCAGUUUUGGUGUCUCAACACCCGUAAUCUUAGCACUUUGGGAGGCCAAGGUGGAUGGAUGGCUUGAGCCCAAGAGUUUGAGACCAGCUUGAGCAAUGUAGUGAAACCCUAUCUCUACAAAAAACUAGCAGGGCGUGUGCCUGUAGUCCCAGUUACUCGGGAGGCUGAGGUGGGAGGACCUGAGCCCAGGGAGAUUGAGGCUGCAGUGAGCCCUGAUUGCGCCACUGCACUCCAGCCUGGGAGUGCGGUCUCAAAGAAAACCCAGUCUCAAGAAACAAAACAAAACAACCCAAAAAAGAUCUUAAGAUGAUCCACUUCUGCUUAAUGAUCAGUGAAUAUUUUUCCUUAUGAUUUUCUUAAUAACAUUUUCUUUUCUCUAGCUUACUUUAUUGUAAGAAUAUAGUAUAUACUUAUAAAACAGAUAAAAUUUGUGUUAACUGACUGUUUAUGGUAUUGGUAAGGCUUCCGGUCAACAGUAGGCUGUUAGUAAUUAAGUUUUGGGGGAGUCAAAAGUGUAAAGCAAUACACUUUAUGGGGGCAGAGCUCCUAACCCCAGUGCUGUUCAAGGGUCAAUCUAAUUGAACAGCCUCUAAAAAUAUCAAGCAAUACUUACAAAUCCAGGGAGAAAAACAUACAUCAACAAUUGUAGUUGGAGCUUUUAAUGAUCGAACAGAGAAAACAGAUACUGAAGUCUUGAUCAAUACAAUGAGUAAGCUGAAGAUAUGAGAUAUGUAGAGAACUUACCAUUCAUCAGACAGAGGCUAUGCCUUUCCCCCAUGCACGCACACACCAUUUACCAAAAUAGGCCAGACACUGAGCCAUGAAGGAAGUCUCAAUAAAGUUCUAAUAAUUAAUACAAAAUAAACUGCAUUCUCUAAUCACAAAUCAAUGACAUUAAAAUUAACAAAACAAUUUUUUUUAACAACUCCAAUAUUUUGGAAAGUAAUUAAUAUAUUUAUGGAUAGCCCUUGGAAAUGAUCAAGGAAAUUAGGAAGUACAUAGAGUGUAACACGGUGAAACCCCGUCUCUACUAAAAAUACAAAAAAAUUAACUGGGCGUGGUGGUG